GUGCUCACUUCAGCAGCACAUAUACUAAAGUUGGAACAAUACAGAGAAGAUCAGCAUGGUCCCUGCAAACUUGGGAUGCAUUCCAGUGAUGAGAUUCAGGACCUU
Molecule: small nuclear RNA, 105 nt
Organism: Apodemus sylvaticus (European woodmouse)
Lineage: Eukaryota; Metazoa; Chordata; Mammalia; Rodentia; Muridae
Source: RefSeq, a predicted model, not a curated record